AGAGUUUGAUCCUGGCUCAGGACGAACGCUGGCGGCACGCUUAACACAUGCAAGUCGAACGAGAGAAGAGGAGCUUGCUUUUCUGAUCUAGUGGCGGACGGGUGAGUAACACGUGAGCAAUCUGCCUUUCAGAGGGGGAUACCGAUUGGAAACGAUCGUUAAUACCGCAUAACAUAAUUGAACCGCAUGAUUUGAUUAUCAAAGAUUUAUCGCUGAAAGAUGAGCUCGCGUCUGAUUAGCUAGUUGGUAAGGUAACGGCUUACCAAGGCGACGAUCAGUAGCCGGACUGAGAGGUUGAUCGGCCACAUGGGGACUGAGACACGGCCCAGACUCCUACGGGAGGCAGCAGUGGGGAAUAUUGCACAAUGGAGGAAACUCUGAUGCAGCGAUGCCGCGUGAGGGAAGAAGGUUUUAGGAUUGUAAACCUCUGUCUUCAGGGACGAAAAAAGACGGUACCUGAGGAGGAAGCUCCGGCUAACUACGUGCCAGCAGCCGCGGUAAUACGUAGGGAGCGAGCGUUGUCCGGAAUUACUGGGUGUAAAGGGAGCGUAGGCGGGAUCGCAAGUCAGAUGUGAAAACUAUGGGCUUAACCCAUAAACUGCAUUUGAAACUGUGGUUCUUGAGUGAAGUAGAGGUAAGCGGAAUUCCUAGUGUAGCGGUGAAAUGCGUAGAUAUUAGGAGGAACAUCAGUGGCGAAGGCGGCUUACUGGGCUUUAACUGACGCUGAGGCUCGAAAGCGUGGGGAGCAAACAGGAUUAGAUACCCUGGUAGUCCACGCCGUAAACGAUGAUUACUAGGUGUGGGGGGACUGACCCCUUCCGUGCCGCAGCAAACGCAAUAAGUAAUCCACCUGGGGAGUACGACCGCAAGGUUGAAACUCAAAGGAAUUGACGGGGGCCCGCACAAGCAGUGGAGUAUGUGGAUUAAUUCGAAGCAACGCGAAGAACCUUACCAGGUCUUGACAUCGUAUGCAUAGCUCAGAGAUGAGUGAAAUCUCUUCGGAGACAUAUAGACAGGUGGUGCAUGGUUGUCGUCAGCUCGUGUCGUGAGAUGUUGGGUUAAGUCCCGCAACGAGCGCAACCCUCACUGUUAGUUGCUACGCAAGAGCACUCUAGCAGGACUGCCGUUGACAAAACGGAGGAAGGUGGGGAUGACGUCAAAUCAUCAUGCCCCUUAUGACCUGGGCCUCACACGUACUACAAUGGCUGUCAACAGAGGGAAGCAAAGCCGCGAGGUGGAGCGAACCCCUAAAAGCAGUCUUAGUUCGGAUUGUAGGCUGCAACCCGCCUACAUGAAGUCGGAAUUGCUAGUAAUCGCAGAUCAGCAUGCUGCGGUGAAUACGUUCCCGGGCCUUGUACACACCGCCCGUCACGCCAUGGGAGUCGGUAACACCCGAAGCCUGUAGUCUAACCGCAAGGAGGACGCAGUCGAAGGUGGGAUUGAUGACUGGGGUGAAGUCGUAACAAGGUA
Molecule: ribosomal RNA, 1470 nt
Filed under: metagenome
Description: bacterial SSU rRNA
Rfam family: Bacterial small subunit ribosomal RNA
Source: RNAcentral